ACUAAGUUUACUUAAAGGUAGUAGCCUAAAAGCCAAACCCAUAUAAACUGGCGGUCACACUAUAUUAGAGGAACUCGCUCUUUAAUCGUCAAUACCCGCUAAAUCCAACCACCUUUGCACUCAUUUUUUAAAGCCUAUAUACCGCCGUUUCAGACUAAACCCUAUAAAUAUAUUCUAAAAAGAACACACAAAAAAAUCAGGUCAAGGUGUAGUUAACAAGGUGGGAAGAGUUAGUUACAUUAAAGAAAAUUUAAGGAUAUUAGCUUUUAAAUUAGCCCUAAAAAAGAAUCUGACCUAACAAACUAGUUAACAUCUAAUUUAGAACUCCUUCUUGCGACGC
RNAcentral lists this ribosomal RNA (340 nucleotides) under Smeringopus sp. DNA100437892. RNAcentral's name for it is "partial 12S ribosomal RNA". RNAcentral also lists the same sequence under 1 other name. Lineage: Eukaryota; Metazoa; Arthropoda; Arachnida; Araneae; Pholcidae. The record is from RNAcentral.